Molecule: ribosomal RNA, 862 nt
Filed under: Bothriocephalidae gen. n. sp. n. PBI_033
Lineage: Eukaryota; Metazoa; Platyhelminthes; Cestoda; Bothriocephalidea; Bothriocephalidae
Description: partial 16S ribosomal RNA
Rfam family: Bacterial large subunit ribosomal RNA (bases 581-862)
Source: RNAcentral
UUUUGCAUCAUGAUAUAUUUAUUUUUAACCGAAAAGGUUUGAUUUUUAAUUGAGUUGAUUAAGGAUUAUGGUAGCGGGUAGCACAAUAAACUCAUAUAAUGCUGUGAUAAAUUAUUCGUUUUCUUUUAUAUCUGUUUGUUAUCUUAGUUUUCGCUUUAUUUAUGGGGCAGAGAGGUCCUAUAAUUGUAUACAUGUGUUGUUUUUUUGUAAUAUGAUAGGGUUAAAAUUCCCCCCUUGUAAGAAUUUUGUUGCAGAUUAUAUUACUAGUGGGUUGCAUUAUAUUUAAAUGAUAACUGUAUUUAAUAGUUUGUUAUAUAUAUGAUACAAUAAGUAAUUAUAUAAAUUUUAUUAUUUCUCAAGCAUAUUCCGUCUGUUUAUUAAAAACAUUUCUAUAUGAAAGAUUUUAUAGUAGGGCCUGCUCGAUGUUUAAUUAUUAAUGGCCGCAGUAUUUUGACUGUGCGAAGGUAGCAUAAUUAAUUGCCCCCUAAUUAGGGGCUUGUUUGAAUGGCUUGACGUGGUUGUUGCAAAUAUUAUUUUUAUAUUUGAAAUUAAUUAUGAUGGUACAGAAUCCUCUUAUAUUAAUUAGACGGAAAGACCCCGGGAUCUUUAAUUUUGUCUGGGGCAGAUUAUAUUGUUUCAUGUUGUAUAUUAUGAUCUUGAGUUGGAAUUAUUGAUUUAAGUUACCCCGGGGAUAACAGUGUAAUAGUUUAUUAGAGAUCUUAUCGAUUAAACUGUUUGCCACCUCGAUGUUGACUUAGGUAUAUAACAGGGCGCAGUAGUUUUGUUAUGUGGUCUGUUCGACCUUUAUUGCCUCCAUGAGUUGAGUUAAGACCGGCGUGAGCCAGGUCGGUUCUUAUCUAUU